RNAcentral lists this ribosomal RNA (638 nucleotides) under Enterobacter hormaechei. RNAcentral's name for it is "bacterial SSU rRNA". It matches the Rfam family "Bacterial small subunit ribosomal RNA", at positions 558 to 1197 of the family's 1533-position model. The record is from RNAcentral. Lineage: Bacteria; Pseudomonadati; Pseudomonadota; Gammaproteobacteria; Enterobacterales; Enterobacteriaceae.
GCGUAAGCGCACGCAGGCGGUCUGUCAAGUCGGAUGUGAAAUCCCCGGGCUCAACCUGGGAACUGCAUUCGAAACUGGCAGGCUAGAGUCUUGUAGAGGGGGGUAGAAUUCCAGGUGUAGCGGUGAAAUGCGUAGAGAUCUGGAGGAAUACCGGUGGCGAAGGCGGCCCCCUGGACAAAGACUGACGCUCAGGUGCGAAAGCGUGGGGAGCAAACAGGAUUAGAUACCCUGGUAGUCCACGCCGUAAACGAUGUCGACUUGGAGGUUGUGCCCUUGAGGCGUGGCUUCCGGAGCUAACGCGUUAAGUCGACCGCCUGGGGAGUACGGCCGCAAGGUUAAAACUCAAAUGAAUUGACGGGGGCCCGCACAAGCGGUGGAGCAUGUGGUUUAAUUCGAUGCAACGCGAAGAACCUUACCUACUCUUGACAUCCAGAGAACUUUGCAGAGAUGGAUUGGUGCCUUCGGGAACUCUGAGACAGGUGCUGCAUGGCUGUCGUCAGCUCGUGUUGUGAAAUGUUGGGUUAAGUCCCGCAACGAGCGCAACCCUUAUCCUUUGUUGCCAGCGGUUAGGCCGGGAACUCAAAGGAGACUGCCAGUGAUAAACUGGAGGAAGGUGGGGAUGACGUCAAGUCAUCAUG